CCUACGGGUGGCUGCAGUGAGGAAUAUUGGUCAAUGGCCGGAAGGCUGAACCAGCCACGCCGCGUGAAGGACGAAGGUGCCAAGCAUUGUAAACUUCUUUUGCCAAGGGACAAAAUCCGGCUCGAGCUCCUUACCGAGUGUACUUUAGGAAAAAGCAUCGGCUAACUCCGUGCCAGCAGCCGCGGUAAUACGGAGGAUGCGAGCGUUAUCCGGAUUUAUUGGGUUUAAAGGGUGCGUGGGCGGACUUUUAUGUCAGCGGUAAAAGCCCGGGGCGCAACCCGGCGAGCCGUUGAAACUGGCGGUCGUGAGAGGGCGAGAGGUAGGCGGAAUGCGCAGUGUAGCGGUGAAAUGCUUAGAUAGUGCGCAGAACUCCGAUUGCGAAGGCAGCAUACCGGCGGCGAUCUGACGCUGAGGCACGAAAGCGUGGGUAUCGAACAGGAUUAGAUACCCGGGUAGUC
Molecule: ribosomal RNA, 458 nt
Filed under: uncultured bacterium
Lineage: Bacteria
Description: partial 16S ribosomal RNA
Rfam family: Bacterial small subunit ribosomal RNA
Source: RNAcentral